This 442-nucleotide ribosomal RNA is filed under the name Serratia symbiotica. RNAcentral describes it as "bacterial SSU rRNA". It matches the Rfam family "Bacterial small subunit ribosomal RNA", at positions 22 to 460 of the family's 1533-position model. Lineage: Bacteria; Pseudomonadati; Pseudomonadota; Gammaproteobacteria; Enterobacterales; Yersiniaceae. The record is from RNAcentral.
GCUCAGAUUGAACGCUGGCGGCAGGCCUAACACAUGCAAGUCGAGCGGUAGCACAAGAGAGCUUGCUCUCUGGGUGACGAGCGGCGGACGGGUGAGUAAUGUCUGGGAAACUGCCUGAUGGCGGGGGAUAACUAGUGGAAACGGUAGCUAAUACCGCAUAACGUCGCAAGACCAAAGUGGGGGACCUUCGGGCCUCACGCCAUCAGAUGUGCCCAGGUGGGAUUAGCUGGUAGGUGGGGUAACGGCUCACCUAGGCGACGAUCCCUAGCUGGUCUGAGAGGAUGACCAGCCACACUGGAACUGAGACACGGUCCAGACUCCUACGGGAGGCAGCAGUGGGGAAUAUUGCACAAUGGGCGCAAGCCUGAUGCAGCCAUGCCGCGUGUGUGAAGAAGGCCUUCGGGUUGUAAAGCACUUUCAGCGAGGAGGAAGGGUAAUGUGU